This 501-nucleotide long non-coding RNA is filed under the name Marmota monax (woodchuck). The record is from RNAcentral. Lineage: Eukaryota; Metazoa; Chordata; Mammalia; Rodentia; Sciuridae.
UGCCGUACUCAGCAGCGGCCCACAGGCCCACAAAGGUGCCUCUGAUGGGGCUGCUGAGGGCAGCCGCCUCGCCAUGGCUGCUUCUUAAUGGAGCCCAGGCCUACAGGAAAUCCACCUGGGCUGCUGCUACCACCACUGCUGCCUUAGGAAGAAGGGCCCCACCCAGGCCCACAGCCACCUCCUCUGCCACAUGACUUACACCGCCUGCCUCCUCCUCCGCGUGCCAGAGCCCUCAGCAGCCACUAAUUGAAUCCAGAGCCUCGCGUGGCCAGGCCCGACUCUAUGUUGACAUCAACACCCCAAGCCUCUGGGCCUGGCUGUGCUUCCUUCUUACUGCUGGGGUGAGGCUAGGGACCAGGGCUGUGACCUGUGGGUGGACACUGUGUGGGGCCUCUGGGAGGCUUGCUCCAGCUUUUGCUGGGCUCCUCACUGCCCUGGGACCCACUGCCCCUCGCCCUCUGAGGGUAACAGGAAGAGAUGAUGUACAUCCGUCACUGUCCC